CAGCGCGAGGCCAGUGGCUGCAGCGGCCGGGCGCACGACGAGGGCGGGGCGGCCCCGGGAGCAGAGUGGGCUCUCCGCCCGGAGAUUCAUCUCCAUUGCCGGCGGCAAAACCUCCCCCUCGCUCACUCCACCUGAUCCCCCUCCUCGGCUCAAGAAAAGAAAAGACCGUCUCCUCUUCCCUCUCCCUUGCUCAGUAUUUUACUCCAUCCUCCACACGUAAUUUGCAUCCAAAUGCGCAGCUGGGCUGUCUAGACGAAGCGCUCGCCCAGUCGCCCCUCGCCAGAGACAGAGAGGCUCUCCUCCUCCUCGGCCGCUCGAUCGAGAGGGAAAAGG
This 333-nucleotide unclassified non-coding RNA is filed under the name Zea mays. RNAcentral describes it as "misc RNA Zm00001eb431250". Lineage: Eukaryota; Viridiplantae; Streptophyta; Magnoliopsida; Poales; Poaceae. The record is from RNAcentral.